RNAcentral lists this non-coding RNA (295 nucleotides) under Rhynchobrunnera orthospora. RNAcentral describes it as "Rhynchosporium orthosporum partial 18S ribosomal RNA". The stretch from base 3 to 255 matches the Rfam family "Group I catalytic intron". Rfam says of the family: Group I catalytic introns are large self-splicing ribozymes. They catalyse their own excision from mRNA, tRNA and rRNA precursors in a wide range of organisms. Lineage: Eukaryota; Fungi; Ascomycota; Leotiomycetes; Helotiales; Ploettnerulaceae. The record is from RNAcentral.
CAGCGCGACAGUAAAGAAUGCUGACCGUAUGCAAGUCAGCCUGGCUGGCAACACGAUCGAAUUGCGGGGACGUCCUAAAGCUCAGCCUACUCCCUGCCCCCGAAAGGGGUCAGCACAGUCAUAAUGGCGGAGAUGCACAAUGGACAAUCCGCAGCGAAGACCCUACCGCGCAAGCCAUGGGUAACGUUCACAGACUAAGUGAUUGUGGGUAGCGUGCUACUUAAGAUAUAGUCGGGCCCUGACCGAAAGGCCAGGGAGUCAACGUCCGUAGGUGAACCUGCGGAAGGAUCAUUAA